GGUGAAAACAGAUAAUUUAACUCAAUUCUAAGAUAAGUUGAAUAUGAAGGUUUUUCUCAUGACAAAGACCAAAACAAAUUAAAGUUGCAAAUAUAACAAAUAAACAUGUCAGGGAAUCUCAAAAGUACAGAGAUAGAAAACCAUAAUGACUCGAACAGCAGUUCCUUGAGCUAACAGCAUUUAGAAAAGCAAAGCUUUGAUUGCAGCUUAUGAUACCAAAUGCUGUGUUUAUUUAUUGACAAAACUGCAUGCAUUGUUGACAAAGCCACGCAGAUGCUACCAUUAUUAGCUGAGAGUCGAUUGCAACUGCUUACAGUGUGCGUGUUCAAGUUAACUACAUUGAAAUAUUCCAGCAGAUGAUCACAUCUCCAUCCAGAACUAUAACAUACGCCCAUAGAAAGGGAAGAAAAUCCUAACCCUUUCAUUUGAUCGUUUAAUUUGAAGGGAAGAAAGCAAUUGCAUCUCAGCAAGAAGAACCAAACUAAGGGAGAAGAACCAAACUAAGGGCUUCAAAGCUAUUCAUCAACCAAAAUCAAUAUAAUAAAUCAUUCCCUAGAAGCUGCCCAUCAAUUCAACGUCAACCACAAACCACGACCUAUUUUCAUUUGCUCAGCAGCAAUAGCAACAGAUGAAGAGUCUUAUUUCCAAUAUGGGAAAGUAUAGCCUUUCUUUGUAAAUUCAUUCCAGUGUGAUCUCAAAUUUUCAGGAACCUUUGUACAAAUUCUUUUGUUUUGCAAUGAAAAAGUGCUAUGCCCAUUAAAAACAUGAAGAGCACUUCAGCGAUUCCAAGAAACGAGAAAAUACAUGAUGGCAAGUGUUAUGAGCAUUCCCACAUAUUUGAUCCAUCUAUCAACACGAUUCCGCCUCUCAAUGAGUCUCAAUACAGAGUUGGAGAGCCCCACCGUGUUAAGAACAUCCAGAGCUUUGCGUUGUGCAUUCUUCAAGCGUUCCCUUUGCUCUGAAUAUUUGGAAAGGAUGGCUGUUCCUGUUGAUAAAGAUUCUUGCAACAUCCUUUUUGAAUUUUGAACUGACUGCAUUGCUUGUGCUUCCUCAUCAAAUAUUCUUAAAACAUGAGCUGAUUCACCAUUUGCUCUUCCAAGCAAUUCUGCCCUCUCCUGAGCUUCCCUCAUCCGCCUUUGAUUCCUUGAGAAGUAUCUAUCCAGACUUUGUUUCAAUGAUUCAGCUUCUUCUGCUACUUGUUCUACCUUUCUGUCAAACCAAAAGUCAAAAUUCUGUUCAGCGUUUAACAAAAUGAAAAUGGUUAUUUAGGCUUGUAACAGAUUUUGUGUGCCUUGAUUAUUCACCUUGCUUUUAAAUAAGACAUUUUUCUUACACAACUGUAAAUAUAUGAAAAUUUUAGUCAAAGCACAUAUUCAUAUUUCAUAAUAUUCCUUGUUCAAAGCAUUGUGAUAAAGAGUUCUCAAAAGUGUUGUCUCAAAUAAGUGAUGGAAAAUAAAGUUGACAUUUUUUAUCAAAUCUAUAUUUUUCCCCCUAUUGGUUAGAAUGUUGACUUUAAAUUAAAGCUUUAAAGAUUGUUUAUUUUGUUAGUUAAAUAGUGACAAUAUCUUUAUUAACAAAAGAACCAUUUAUAUUAUUUUUGAAUUUUCUUUGUUUCCUCUUUUUAUUUUUUUUUUUCUUGGGCAUCCACCCUUUCUCAAGCAUGUGCCAGCACCUACGCCUUGUGCCUAGGUUCCAAGGCUCCUUCAUGCCUUAGUAUUCGUGAUAGAAAAGACUAUCUUUGACCAACUCAACACAUUCCAAGAAAGCUGUCCCCAACUCAACAAAAUCAAAAUUUCAAAUAGUUCUCCUAAAAAAUGAUAUCACAGAACACAAAAAAUGGCAUAAUGAAACAUGGUGAUUGAUGAGUGAGAAACAAACCACAAAUGCUCAAAACUAUUGCAUCUUGCAAUUCAUUGAUUUAUCUACUACAAACACAGCAGGGGAAUGGAUCCUAAUACAAAGCCAUUUGAUCUUGAACUAAUUUAGCAAUUUGCUUCAUGGAUUUGCAUUUUAGUUUAAAUUAUUUGAGUACUGUCUACAAUGCAUACUUUUAUUACAACAUCGAUUGAAUUUAUAGUUAUGGAUGAAAACUCAUUGAGGGACGUAUUAUUUUAUUUAGAAAACACCUAACAAGAAGGUGCAAAUUCAGAUAAACUUUCCACAAGAUUUGAUUGAAAUAUCCUUUUUGUAACCUCACAUUUUCUCAAAGCCAAAUGAUUGGAAAAUAGUAUAUAAUAAAAAGACAAAGCAUUUGAAUCAGAGACUUGGUGCUCGUAGAGGUAUGAAGAUGUAACACUAAAUUCUCUCCCCUAAAUAGCAUAAACCACAAUUCGCCAUAAUUCUCAAGCAAUUGGACAAAGACAAAACAUCUAUUGAAUACCAAAUCAAGUUAAUUAUUAGGACUAAAGCCAAAAAAGUUUACUCCAAAUCACAAACACCAUAGUUCAAUUAGAGAAUUAUAGCUCGAAUAGAAACAAUUUUCCUAAGGCAUUAAAAAUGAGCUGUGUUUGCAUAUCUUUCCGGGACAAUUAAGGUCAUUUGAUGACUGCUUUUAACUGAUUUCCUGAAAUUGAUACAGCGAGGUCAAAAUUAGGCUUUCCAAUUUGACAAAUUGUGCUUCAAAUGGAUGCACAUAUAUAUGUGCGUAAUUAAUAAAUAAAUCAAUUGACAAAUGCGGCACCGUAGCUUCUUCAUUCUAGGGUUAACGUGAAGAGAAGCGCAGAGCGAAUUAAGUACGUACCUUUUCCAGAGAUCACGCUGGGGUUUAGCGGCGAUUA
This 2777-nucleotide unclassified non-coding RNA is filed under the name Hevea brasiliensis (rubber tree). Lineage: Eukaryota; Viridiplantae; Streptophyta; Magnoliopsida; Malpighiales; Euphorbiaceae. The record is from RNAcentral.